GAUGAACGCUGGCGGCGUGCCUAAUACAUGCAAGUCGAGCGAACAGAUGAGAAGCUUGCUUCUCUGAUGUUAGCGGCGGACGGGUGAGUAACACGUGGGUAACCUACCUAUAAGACUGGGAUAACUCCGGGAAACCGGGGCUAAUACCGGAUAAUAUUUUGAACCGCAUGGUUCGAUAGUGAAAGACGGUUUCGGCUGUCACUUGUAGAUGGACCCGCGCCGUAUUAGCUAGCUGGUAAGGUAACGGCUCACCAAGGCGACGAUACGUAGCCGACCUGAGAGGGUGAUCGGCCACACUGGAACUGAGACACGGUCCAGACUCCUACGGGAGGCAGCAGUAGGGAAUCUUCCGCAAUGGGCGAAAGCCUGACGGAGCAACGCCGCGUGAGUGAUGAAGGUCUUCGGAUCGUAAAACUCUGUUGUUAGGGAAGAACAAAUUUGUUAGUAACUGAACAAGUCUUGACGGUACCUAACCAGAAAGCCACGGCUAACUACGUGCCAGCCGCCGCCGUAA
This 514-nucleotide ribosomal RNA is filed under the name uncultured bacterium. Its description in RNAcentral is "partial 16S ribosomal RNA". It matches the Rfam family "Bacterial small subunit ribosomal RNA", at positions 28 to 523 of the family's 1533-position model. The record is from RNAcentral.